Molecule: ribosomal RNA, 1479 nt
Filed under: Triticum aestivum (bread wheat)
Lineage: Eukaryota; Viridiplantae; Streptophyta; Magnoliopsida; Poales; Poaceae
Description: partial small subunit ribosomal RNA
Source: RNAcentral
AUGUCGACAUUGCAGGCAGCUGCUGGGGUGGAGAAGCGUCACGCCGUGUUCUUCCCAUUCCCGGCGCAGGGCCAUGUCAAGCCGGCGCUCCAGCUAGCCAAGCUCCUCCACCGUUGCCACGGCUUCCAGGUAACGUUCGUCCACACCGAGCACAACCGCCGACGCCUCCUCCGCUCGCGCGGCCCCGGCGCGCUUGCGGGGGUCCCCGGGUUCCGCUUCGCCGCCGUCCCGGACGGCCUACCCGAAUCCGAUGCCGACGCGGCGCAGGACAUGUCUGCCCUGCUGUCCACCACGGAGGCCCUGGCCCCGCACUUCAGGAGCCUCGUCUCCGGCCUCCCGUCGCCCGUGUCCUGCGUCGUCUCCGACAUCGAGCACAUCCUCUACGCGGCCAAGGACAUGGGUCUUCAAUGUGUCACCUUCUGGAUCACGAGCGCGUGCUCCUUCAUGAUGUACCAGCUAUGCCAGAGGCUCGUCGACAUGGGCAUUGUUCCCCUCAGAGAGGCCGGGCAGCUAAGGAAUGGAUGCAUGGACAGCACGGUCCUGGACUGGGUGCCGGGAAUGCCCAAAGGCAUUUGCCUGAAAGACUUCCCGGACUUCGUCCUCACCGCGGACCCCGACGACGCCAUGCUCAAAGUCGCCCUGCGCUCAAUGGCGUGCCACAGGACUACCCCGUCCGCCGUCAUCUUCCACACCUUCGACGAGAUCGACCGCGAGGCCAUCGCAACCAUGUCCACCUUCCUGCCAAAAAUCUACGCCGUCGGGCCAUUGCCGCUCCUCCUCGGUCAAGCCUCCGGCACUGGCGGCGUGGGUGACACGCUGGAAUCAAACCUGUCCAGGGAGAACCACGCCUGCCUAGAGUGGCUGAAUGGCCGGCGGCCGAACUCGGUGGUGUACGUGAGCUUCGGGAGCAUAGCAACGCUGACGAGCGAGCAGCUUGUGGAGCUCGCGUGGGGUUUGGCUAACAGUAAGCAGGACUUCCUGUGGGUGAUGAGAGACGAUCAAGUGAAUAAUGGCGGCGACCCCGCUGCUGUGUUGCCGCCGGAGUUCUUGGAGGAGACGAAGGCGAGGAGGUACGUGACGAGAUGGUGCCCGCAAGAAGCGGUGCUACAGCACGAGGCGACGGGCGCGUUCCUGACGCACUGCGGGUGGAACUCGGUUCUGGAGAGCGUCUGCGCCGGGGUGCCGAUGCUAUGCUGGCCCUUCGGCGCCGACCAGUACACCAACGCGAGGUACGCUUGCUCUGAGUGGCGCGUCGGCUUGGAGAUCGGCGGCGAUGUCAAGAGAGACGAGGUGGAGGCAGCCAUUAGGGAGGUGAUGGGAGAAGGGGAGAAAGGAAAAGAGAUAAGGAGAAUGCUCAAUGAAUGGAAGGAGAAGGCUAUCGUGGCUGCACAACCAAGUGGAUCCUCUUGGGUAAAUUUGGAGAAGGUGGUCAAUGAGGUGCUUACUGUGCCUCCUGCCAAGGGGGAUACAGAAAUAUGA